Suricata suricatta (meerkat) is the source of this 2984-nucleotide long non-coding RNA. RefSeq lists it as uncharacterized. NCBI's taxonomy places the organism in Eukaryota, Metazoa, Chordata, Mammalia, Carnivora, Herpestidae. The record is from RefSeq and is a predicted model, not a curated record. The transcript has 4 exons.
GGGACCGAGACCGAGAGCCAGGCGCGCAGACGCCGCGGUGCGCGCGCUCUUGGAGAGGGGCCGGCGGUGUGCGCACACCUGGAGAGGAGCCGGAGGUGUGCACGUGCCGGUGUGCGCGCACACUGGGAGAAGAGUCGGCGGUGUGUACGUGCCGGUGUGCGUGCACUCUCGGAGGGUGAUGGGAGGUGCACAGAGAAGACUAACCCUGCCCACCUGGUGCCCUCCUGUCCCCGCGGAGACAGCGAUCUCCAUACCCAGCCGGAGCCUUAGUCCCCACCUCAGGGUUCAGGUCCUCAGGAGGAAAAUCAGGCAGCAGCUGGAAGGCCCGCUUCAGCCCGUGGAGCCAGUGCGCAGGGCGGCCAGCCGCGCCGUGAGAGCGGGGGCUCCGGAAGAAACGAAUGGAAUCUUAAACCCUCCACGGAUGGGAGAUUCUGGUCAUUCAGCAAUAUUCACAUGCGGUGGCCACCCCGAUUCUCUCUCUAAGUGAUGUCUGUACGCAGAUCACUGCAGGGAGUGAGAUGGGCGGAGCGGGGGGAGCCACCCCAGCGGGGGAGAGCACUCAGGAGGCUCUGGGUUCCUUGGGAAAAGAGCAAGAAGUUGUUCGGGGUUUCUUUUUUUAGCCUCUCUCUGAACGCCCGUUUCUCUGUACAAAGUUAGCAUAAUUUCUAAAAUGUCUGUUGAAGAUCCAGAAGUGUGUGGCCACUGCCCUGCCUUGAAGUCUCUAGACUGGAUUUCAGAAAUGCCACCUUCUCGGUGAGUCAUGGGCCUGCGGCUGCCUGCGCCCACCUGGCCCCCCGGCAUCCACCCUGUAUCUGGGGGGGUCUUGUUCAGGGAGCGUGACUUUGUGGCGCUUUCAUUCGGGCGUGGACUCACCCACCUCUCAGUGGCUGGCGUCCGCCCUGUGUCGCCCAGGGCGCCGCACGGAAGUGGCUGUCCCGUGUCUAUGAGGACAAAACGGCUAGAUCUUCCCAGGAAAAGUCCUCCGCUCCCAAAAGCUCGCUUUUCCUUUGUGUGCCGCCCUGUUGAGACUCAGGGUGUGGUACAGACCCUUCCCCCCCCCCCCCCGCCGUUGAACCGCCCUGUCCAGAGAGCAUUUUCCAAUCGCUUGAAAACCGCGAUGCUAAGGGGCUGUUAAAUGCCCAGUUUGCCUUUGGUUCCCUCCUUGAUGACACUGGUCCUGUAUUCAGCCGUUUCCUGUUUUCCACCUUCUCGGGCCACAGUGGCACUGGUGACAUCAAGAGGUUGGAAGACGGGCUCGUGGAAGUUAGGUAGGAGAAUGUUCCCAAUAGGGACAAGGGACAUUUCCUCAUUCUUUGGUAAAAUAUACAGGCAUCUUCAGAAAACUCUGUUCUGCUUAUUGUGUGUAUCAUAAAAUAGAAGUAAAUCCGUGUGCUCACUCACCCUGGAGGUACGUCCCUGGCCGUCUCCGGAGAGGCCACUGCUCCUGAGCCCCAGUGACCGAGAGUCUGCAGCCCCCACCCUCCACCGCCACACCCGGACCCACCCUUCUCAUCCUGUGUCAUGGUUCAUUUUGGAAACGUCUGCUCAAACUGAAAGUCCUCAUGGGAGGAGGGCCAGUCCUCCACCCUCUUGGGUGCGAUGAUGCUGCCAGCGUUUACUCACAUCUUAAAAGACUAGCACGCUCGUUUGCAGGUUAAAGCUGCAGCCCUUUGGCAAGAACUCCUCAGAUCUGACAGAUUCUAGACCGAGGCAUCUGAUUCACUCCGAUUAUCUCCCCGGCCUGCUGACUGCUCAGACACCUGCUCUUUACCCUUUCUGCGGUGGGAGAAGUGCCUGUCGUCUUCACCGUUGAACUCCACAGGCCGUCUAGAGGGUUCCUUCUGGGAGACUUCACACCGCCCUGGCUCAGAAAGCCUACAAGACUCGGGGUGCCUGGUGGCUCUGUCGAUUAUGCGUCUGACUCUUGAUUCAGCUCAGAAUCCAGACACCGACACGGGGCGUGAGCACCAGAGCCCAUGGUGGUUUUGGGAAACUCGCUUUUAUGUUCCACGGAAAGCGGUCACUUCCCUGCUACCUGUCCGCUUACCUCGCAGGUCAGAGGGACCCGCCAGCCCACCUGCCGCCAUGAGGCUGAGAAGAAGAGCCAGAUGGCCUCGGAUAAUCUCAGCCCCUCUGAUGCUGAUUCCUCUAGCCGAGAAAUAAGUAGCUAGAAAUACAGUUCUUUGAUAAGACACACCACAGUUUCAAAGCUUUCUCUCCUGCAUCCCUCACUCCUCACGCUCGGGGUGCCGAUGGUGUACAGACGAGCAAGAUAGAGGGCUGCUAAACGAGGAGAGGCAGAUGCACACGCAGUCUGGGCUCAGACGCGACACGCAGGGGCCAAGGAAGCGGCGCUGCCCCCUCGGCCUGGCUGGGCCACAGCACCAGCGGGCAGGCGGAGCCUCGGAGACCAGAGGGCUUGAAAUGGCCCGGAUGGAAUUGCUGUCCUCGAGUCAAAAUCGGGUGCACGGGCCUCAGAAUGGGUGGGCUUCCUCCAGUUCUCAGCGUCUUCCUGGUGGUGGUGACUCUGGGGCUGCCCUGGGCGGUGGAGGAGGGUAGCUCCUGCCUCACAUUCGUAAUGAGAGCAUAUCUCCUAAAUGUGGGAGUUACUUCAGAUACCAGCCUCCAGGAUGCAAGUGUCUGCCACAGAGAGCUUUACUAGGAGAUGCUCAGGGUGCUUAGGGACGCGGAAGAGCAAGGUCAGACCCAAGAGCCCCAAUCCCGAGCUUUGGGCCAGGACGAGGAAGCGGGGGCUGUGGGCAGCUGGGCCAGGAAGACCGCACAGGGCAGUUUGCGGGGCGGGCUUCUGGCAGCGGCACUCCGGAUAAGCUUGAACUUCUGGCGCCUCCACCGAACGGCCCCUCCGUCCAGCCUCCAGUGCAGGGAAUGAACUAUGUGCACCCGCUGCUCACAUAGAAACCCAGCUAGAGGUCACAUACGUCACUUGUCCUCAGUAAAGAAAACAGGUCACCAAUUCGAAAUCA